Strigops habroptila (Kakapo) is the source of this 1629-nucleotide long non-coding RNA. RefSeq lists it as uncharacterized. NCBI's taxonomy places the organism in Eukaryota, Metazoa, Chordata, Aves, Psittaciformes, Psittacidae. The transcript has 3 exons. The record is from RefSeq and is a predicted model, not a curated record.
AAACUGGUAAUCUGUAUGAGACAUCACCAGAGUUUCAGGGGAUGUAUUCAAAUGAAAUGCUUAUUAUUUGCAGGUUUCUUUCUAGCUUAGAAGACACUAAGCUCCUUUUUGCAAUGUGUUACAUUGGUGACAGGGUAGUUCCCCGGACUAAUGAGGAGAUAUAAAAUCACAGUGAACCCAGUGACCAUUUCAAAUUUAACCCAAGUCAGUGGAUUGCUUCAGGAGGGCCCCUCAGACUCCAGCACCAAAUACAGCUCCUGCUUAAAUGGUCUGUGCAUCUAUGGGUAGAGCUGUUAUUCUGCCUCCCAAGUACCUGUUCAGGAAGAGAGCUUAAAACAUAUAGUUUCAUGUUAAAAAAUGUUCAGUCCUUUGCUUCCAGCAACAGCUGAUGCAGUAGGAAAGAGCUGCUCACCCUUCAUCUACAGACCAGUCUGGCCGCACAGCUUCCUAGGUAAGGACAGGCCAGCACACUUACACUGGUGCCAGGAAUACUGCUACUGAUUGUGCUCACUGAACCAUGUUAUAUCAGCUGCAGCAUGUCAGAGGAGCAUGUCCAAGAGUAGCUACAGCUAACAAGGCUCUAUUUGAGAGAAAAAAUGAGACCAGAGUGAGACUUAUGACAAUUUCAAGUAUAGAAUAAACAGUAUGAACAGACAAGCACGAGAGAAUGGUAAGGUGCUCUUUACAUACGAAUAUCUUCAAUGUCACACACACACAAAAAAAAUAAAAAAAAAGAAAAAAAAAGGAGAAAGAAAAAAAUCAGAAAAUGAGAGAAUGAACUAUAACAAACACUUUUUCUAAGUAGAGUCUCUGCAUUUCCCAUGGGAUUCAGUUGAAUGGGGAUAAAAAAAAAAAGGGAGAGCAAAAACUGCUUGCAACACAGAACAAACCUUGAGUGCCAAGAGUAUGCUCCAGAUUUGUUUAAAGGUGCCUGACUCUUAUCUCAGCCCUGGUUCAUCACAGUUUACUCCUAGAAUUAUUCAGAAUUCAAGGACCUUGCUCCUAUGGGGUUAAUGGGUUACAUUCAACACUGAAAAACGUGACACAAAUAGCUGCUUAAUUAUUCAGUCCAGACUGAUUUUAGUGGUUAAUGGAAAUAAAAAUAGCAACAGCAACAUUGUUUUACGUUUCACAGGUGAAAUGAUUUUUUCUUUUCACUGCAUAAUCCAGGACCAUGCACAGGAGGAGGGGGCCAAUAUAAAGGAGGGGUUGUGCUGCUUGUGACACAAAAGAUUAGCAUACCCAUGACUGAAGAGGAGGAAAAGGAAAACACUGCCAUAAAAGUGACAGUAGAGGUGAAGAAUUGUGGUGAAUGUGUAAUGCACCACUGAAAAAAUGCAGGAGAAAACAUACCGAAAGUCUUAUCAUAUCUAUCCUGCUAUUCCAAAGCAGGAAUUAAUUUGAAGGGAAGAAGCUGCUGUUCUCGUUGGCUCACAUCACUUGUUCAUAAACACAGGCAAGAAAAAUGCUGAAGUGAUACGAUUACCAUAAUUACUAUCUUUGUUCAAAAAAAUGCAGUUGUGGUUUUCCACCCUGAAUUUUGUUCAAGCAGCCAUUGUGGCUAGUACCCAUCAGGAGCUAACAGCACAUACUGCAGCUACUCUAGGAGCAAACACAGUAAAUCUCGUG